RNAcentral lists this ribosomal RNA (411 nucleotides) under uncultured Trichormus sp. RNAcentral describes it as "bacterial SSU rRNA". It matches the Rfam family "Bacterial small subunit ribosomal RNA", at positions 130 to 574 of the family's 1533-position model. The record is from RNAcentral. Lineage: Bacteria; Bacillati; Cyanobacteriota; Cyanophyceae; Nostocales; Nostocaceae.
CUUCAGGUCUGGGACAACAGUUGGAAACACUGCUAAUACCGGAUGUGCCGAGAGGUGAAAGGCUUGCUGCCUGAAGAUGAGCUUGCGUCUGAUUAGCUAGUUGGUGGGGUAAGAGCCUACCAAGGCGACGAUCAGUAGCUGGUCUGAGAGGAUGAUCAGCCACACUGGGACUGAGACACGGCCCAGACUCCUACGGGAGGCAGCAGUGGGGAAUUUUCCGCAAUGGGCGAAAGCCUGACGGAGCAAUACCGCGUGAGGGAGGAAGGCUCUUGGGUUGUAAACCUCUUUUCUCAGGGAAGAAAAAAAUGACGGUACCUGAGGAAUAAGCAUCGGCUAACUCCGUGCCAGCAGCCGCGGUAAUACGGAGGAUGCAAGCGUUAUCCGGAAUGAUUGGGCGUAAAGGGUCCGCAG